GCGGAAGGAUCAUUACCGAGUGAGGGCCCUCUGGGUCCAACCUCCCACCCGUGUCUAUCGUACCUUGUUGCUUCGGCGGGCCCGCCGUUUCGACGGCCGCCGGGGAGGCCUUGCGCCCCCGGGCCCGCGCCCGCCGAAGACCCCAACAUGAACGCUGUUCUGAAAGUAUGCAGUCUGAGUUGAUUAUCGUAAUCAGUUAAAACUUUCAACAACGGAUCUCUUGGUUCCGGCAUCGCUGAAGAACGCAGCGAAAUGCGAUAAGUAAUGUGAAUUGCAGAAUUCAGUGAAUCAUCGAGUCUUUGAACGCACAUUGCGCCCCCUGGUAUUCCGGGGGGCAUGCCUGUCCGAGCGUCAUUGCUGCCCUCAAGCACGGCUUGUGUGUUGGGCCCCCGUCCCCCUCUCCCGGGGGACGGGCCCGAAAGGCAGCGGCGGCACCGCGUCCGGUCCUCGAGCGUAUGGGGCUUUGUCACCUGCUCGUAGGCCCGGCCGGCGCCAGCCGACACCCAACUUUAUUUUUCUAAGGUUGACCUCGGAUCAGGUAGGGAUACCCGCUGAACUUAAGCAUAUCAAUA
This 572-nucleotide ribosomal RNA is filed under the name Aspergillus fumigatus. RNAcentral describes it as "eukaryotic LSU rRNA". The stretch from base 201 to 354 matches the Rfam family "5.8S ribosomal RNA". The record is from RNAcentral. Lineage: Eukaryota; Fungi; Ascomycota; Eurotiomycetes; Eurotiales; Aspergillaceae.